CGCGUGACCAAAUAAGGAGCGCUAGACUGAACUCCGCUCCACCGCAGUGAGGAAAUUCACCGCGAAUGAAUAAACCGUACAUUAUUUCCUCUAAUCGCGAGGAUGACGGAAACCACAGCGGCUUGCGUUCGUAAAACUUUUAGGAAGCGUGCCUCUUCACGCGCCUCCGCACCGGACUCCGUUAUAAAUAUUCUGAAGAGCACCGGCGGAGAUGCGAGCGCAUCCAGACUCGCGGCGAGGUUUGAAUGAGGAAGAAGGAACAAAUUGAGACAGCAGGAAGUUGAGCAAAUAUUGACAGGAGAUUCAUUUUCCAGCGAGCUAUCGCUUUAAAGCAUCGACUCAUCAAACAGGCUCCUGCAUCAUGAUAACACACGCCUAUCUGACUGUGAGAAGAUGCUGUGGAGAACAUCUCACUGUCCAAUCAGAGCAGACCAGACCAGAAAUGACUACUGGAGAAACCAAUCAGAUUGUGCCAUGUGAGAGAACGGGGCGGGACCAUCAGCAGAGUGAAUUUGGCAAGUUACACAAAUUGGGUAACCGGUCGAGAACGAGUCAAGCUUUACCUCGGAUUCAGAAGAAAAAUAAAAUCGCACUUCUAGAAAAAAAGAAUGAUUUCAACUGUAUUGCAGUGGUGUUUCUAUCAUGAAAACAUUCUUAAGAGUAAAGGUUCUUUACUGGAA
Cyprinus carpio (common carp) is the source of this 680-nucleotide long non-coding RNA. RefSeq lists it as uncharacterized. The record is from RefSeq and is a predicted model, not a curated record. Lineage: Eukaryota; Metazoa; Chordata; Actinopteri; Cypriniformes; Cyprinidae.